Molecule: non-coding RNA, 31 nt
Filed under: Mus musculus (house mouse)
Lineage: Eukaryota; Metazoa; Chordata; Mammalia; Rodentia; Muridae
Source: RNAcentral
UUCUUUGCAAUGGUUACCCUCUCACAGGGCU